CGAAUGGGGCAAGCGUUGUUCGGAAUCACUGGGCUUAAAGCGUAUGCAGGCGGACUCGCAAGUCAGAAGUGAAAUCCCCGGGCUUAACCCGGGAAUUGCUUUUGAAACUGCAAGUCUAGAAUCCCGGAGAGGUUAGUAGAAUUCCGAGUGUAGAGGUGAAAUUCGCAGAUAUUCGGAGGAAUACCAGUGGCGCAAGCGACUAACUGGACGGGCAUUGACGCUCAGAUACGAAAGCGUGGGUAGCAAACUGGAUUAGAUACCCUGGUAGUCCACGCCAUAAACGAUGUGUGCUAGUUGUCGGGGCCUUCGGUCUCGGUGACGCAGCGAAAGCGGUAAGCACACCGCCUGGGGAGUACGGUCGCAAGAUUA
RNAcentral lists this ribosomal RNA (369 nucleotides) under uncultured organism. RNAcentral describes it as "bacterial SSU rRNA". It matches the Rfam family "Bacterial small subunit ribosomal RNA", at positions 526 to 896 of the family's 1533-position model. The record is from RNAcentral.